RNAcentral lists this ribosomal RNA (500 nucleotides) under uncultured bacterium. Its description in RNAcentral is "partial 16S ribosomal RNA". It matches the Rfam family "Bacterial small subunit ribosomal RNA", at positions 28 to 507 of the family's 1533-position model. The record is from RNAcentral.
GACGAACGCUGGCGGCGUGCUUAACACAUGCAAGUCGAACGGGCCUGUCUUCUUUUUUGGGGGGUGGGUUGAGUGGCGAACGGGUGAGUAUCACGUGAGUAACCUGCCCUUCGGUCCUGGAUAACCGCUUGAAAGGGCGGCUAAUACGGGGUGGUCCGGUUGGUCCGCAUGGGCUGGUCGGGAUAGAUUCACUGUUUUUGGUGUUUCGGCGGGGGAUGGGCUCGCGGCCUAUCAGCUUGUUGGUGGGGUGAUGGCCGACCAAGGCGGUGACGGGUAGCCGGCCUGAGAGGGGGGGCGGCCACACUGGGACUGAGAUACGGCCCAGACUCCUGCGGGAGGCAGCAGUGGGGGGUAUUGCACAAUGGGCGGAAGCCUGAUGCAGCGACGUCGCGUGAGGGAUGGAGGCCUUCGGGUUGUGAACCUCUGUUUCCGGUGGUGAAGGCCCUGUCCGUGUGGUGGGGUUGACGGUAGCCGGGGAUGAAGCGCCGGCUAACUACGUG